This 401-nucleotide ribosomal RNA is filed under the name Agrobacterium tumefaciens. RNAcentral describes it as "partial 23S ribosomal RNA". It matches the Rfam family "Bacterial large subunit ribosomal RNA", at positions 2338 to 2738 of the family's 2925-position model. Lineage: Bacteria; Pseudomonadati; Pseudomonadota; Alphaproteobacteria; Hyphomicrobiales; Rhizobiaceae. The record is from RNAcentral.
UCGGUCGUAGAGUAUAAAGGCAAAAGCGCGCUUGACUGCGAGACAGACACGUCGAGCAGGUACGAAAGUAGGUCUUAGUGAUCCGGUGGUUCUGUAUGGAAGGGCCAUCGCUCAACGGAUAAAAGGUACUCCGGGGAUAACAGGCUGAUACCGCCCAAGAGUUCAUAUCGACGGCGGUGUUUGGCACCUCGAUGUCGGCUCAUCUCAUCCUGGGGCUGAAGCAGGUCCCAAGGGUAUGGCUGUUCGCCAUUUAAAGAGGUACGCGAGCUGGGUUUAGAACGUCGUGAGACAGUUCGGUCCCUAUCUGCCGUGGGCGUUGGAAGAUUGAGAGGGGUUGCUCCUAGUACGAGAGGACCGGAGUGAACGCACCACUGGUGUUCGGGUUGUCAUGCCAAUGGCAU